GUAAAAAUUUUAUAAGAAUAUGAUGUUGGUUCAGAUUAAGCGCUAAAUAAGGACAUGACACAUGCGAAUCAUACGUUUAUUAUUGAUAAGAUAAUAAAUAUGUGGUGUAAACGUGAGUAAUUUUAUUAGGAAUUAAUGAACUAUAGAAUAAGCUAAAUACUUAAUAUAUUAUUAUAUAAAAAUAAUUUAUAUAAUAAAAAGGAUAUAUAUAUAAUAUAUAUUUAUCUAUAGUCAAGCCAAUAAUGGUUUAGGUAGUAGGUUUAUUAAGAGUUAAACCUAGCCAACGAUCCAUAAUCGAUAAUGAAAGUUAGAACGAUCACGUUGACUCUGAAAUAUAGUCAAUAUCUAUAAGAUACAGCAGUGAGGAAUAUUGGACAAUGAUCGAAAGAUUGAUCCAGUUACUUAUUAGGAUGAUAUAUAAAAAUAUUUUAUUUUAUUUAGUUCCGGGGCCCGGCCACGGGAGCCGGAACCCCGAAAGGAGAAAUAUUAAAUAUUUAUAAUAAUAAUAAUAAUAAUAUAUAUAUAUAAAUUGAUUAAAAAUAAAAUCCAUAAAUAAUUAAAAUAAUGAUAUUAAUUACCAUAUAUAUUUUAUAUGGAUAUAUAUAUUAAUAAUAAUAUUAAUUUAUUAUUAUUAAUAAUAUAUUUUAAUAGUCCUGACUAAUAUUUGUGCCAGCAGUCGCGGUAACACAAAGAGGGCGAGCGUUAAUCAUAAUGGUUUAAAGGAUCCGUAGAAUGAAUUAUAUAUUAUAAUUUAGAGUUAAUAAAAUUAAUUAAAGAAUUAUAAUAGUAAAGAUGAAAUAAUAAUAAUAAUUAUAAGACUAAUAUAUGUGAAAAUAUUAAUUAAAUAUUAACUGACAUUGAGGGAUUAAAACUAGAGUAGCGAAACGGAUUCGAUACCCGUGUAGUUCUAGUAGUAAACUAUGAAUACAAUUAUUUAUAAUAUAUAUUAUAUAUAAAUAAUAAAUGAAAAUGAAAGUAUUCCACCUGAAGAGUACGUUAGCAAUAAUGAAACUCAAAACAAUAGACGGUUACAGACUUAAGCAGUGGAGCAUGUUAUUUAAUUCGAUAAUCCACGACUAACCUUACCAUAUUUUGAAUAUUAUAAUAAUUAUUAUAAUUAUUAUAUUACAGGCGUUACAUUGUUGUCUUUAGUUCGUGCUGCAAAGUUUUAGAUUAAGUUCAUAAACGAACAAAACUCCAUAUAUAUAAUUUUAAUUAUAUAUAAUUUUAUAUUAUUUAUUAAUAUAAAGAAAGGAAUUAAGACAAAUCAUAAUGAUCCUUAUAAUAUGGGUAAUAGACGUGCUAUAAUAAAAUGAUAAUAAAAUUAUAUAAAAUAUAUUUAAUUAUAUUUAAUUAAUAAUAUAAAACAUUUUAAUUUUUAAUAUAUUUUUUUAUUAUAUAUUAAUAUGAAUUAUAAUCUGAAAUUCGAUUAUAUGAAAAAAGAAUUGCUAGUAAUACGUAAAUUAGUAUGUUACGGUGAAUAUUCUAACUGUUUCGCACUAAUCACUCAUCACGCGUUGAAACAUAUUAUUAUCUUAUUAUUUAUAUAAUAUUUUUUAAUAAUUAUUAAUAUUAUUAAUUUUUAUUUAUUUAUAUCAGAAAUAAUAUGAAUUAAUGCGAAGUUGAAAUACAGUUACCGUAGGGGAACCUGCGGUGGGCUUAUAAAUAUCUUAAAUAUUCUUACA
Molecule: non-coding RNA, 1685 nt
Filed under: Saccharomyces cerevisiae YJM1250
Lineage: Eukaryota; Fungi; Ascomycota; Saccharomycetes; Saccharomycetales; Saccharomycetaceae
Description: 15S ribosomal RNA
Rfam family: Bacterial small subunit ribosomal RNA
Source: RNAcentral